Molecule: long non-coding RNA, 916 nt
Filed under: Parus major (Great Tit)
Lineage: Eukaryota; Metazoa; Chordata; Aves; Passeriformes; Paridae
Description: lncRNA (ENSPMJG00000004402.1)
Source: RNAcentral
UCGGGAACGGGAACCAAACCGGGAUUGGCCCCGGGAGCCCCCUCGGAGCGGCCUCGAGCCGCUGCGGGAUGUGCUGGGGGCGGCUCGACCCCUCCGGGACCCUCCGGGACCCUCCCGGUUCCUCCCGGUUCCUCCCGGUCCCUCACGCCGCGCUCCCGCCGCGUUCCCGGAAGUGCCGCCCCUCCGCCCUCAGCCAAUCAGCAGCGGGAACAGCGCGCUCUGCUCCACGUGACUCACAAGCGCCGCGUUCAUUGGUUGAUACGCGUAGCGUCCCAGCCAAUCACCAGCGGGAAAAAAAGACUCGCAGUUGUCCCGCCCACUGGUGAUGGACGUGCGGCUCCAGCCAAUCAGCAGCGAGGAGGGCGUGGCCAUCGCGCUCAGACUCCGCCCCCCGCGCGGUUUUGGGGCGAAUUGCGGCGAUUUUGGGUCUGGCAAUGGCGGGGGCGCCGUUCAAUGGCUUUAUUGGGGGUCAUCGUCAAGGGGGAAACCCAGGCGGGGGUCGCAGGUGCCCCCAGGUCAGGGGUCAAUGUCCCAAAUGUCCCCCCGGGUCAGGGGUCACGGGGUGUCCCCAGGGGAGGGGUCCCGGUGUCCCGCUGUCCCCAUGGGAGGGGUCCCGGUGUCCCGCUGUCCCCAGGGGAAGGGUCCCGGUGUCCCCAUGUCCCCCGGGGAGGGGUCCCCGCGCCCCCCGGGCUCAGAGCUGCCGGGGGGGCAGCACCACGCGGUGCAGGACGCGCCCGGUGGCCUCCAGGAAGGUGACGGUGGCAGCGCCGGGCUCCAGGCGCAGGUGGGCGAAGCCCCCGGGGCUCGCGGGGCUCCCGAAGAAGAAGCGGAGGGAACCGGGGGGGACGGAGCCGAGGUGGGGCCGCGAAUCCUCCAUGAAAUUCCCGGCGCCGCUCAGGAUGUAGCCCACCCCCCC